AUGAUAUAUGUGGGUAGUGGCCAUGGGCUCAAGGUGCUCCAAGAGGGAGCCUCUGAUAACCUCGGGUCUAAGAAGAACGUGCCUCGCCCGCGUGAUGUUGGUGCACGAGGCCUGCCCAAGGAUCCGUGGGCGAGGUGUUUCAAGCUGCGUGAUUCCUCUAUGAAUCGUCGUGGUGAUGGGGUUGGUCCUUCCGAUGGUGAAUCGGGCACCGAUACAGUUCAAGCGAUGGCUUCGAAGCAUGGAAGAGGAGUGAGCACUUGCAUCGGAGGAAAUCCUGUUGAUAGAACCUCAGUUCUGGUGGAAGUUCAGAACUGUUAUGCAGCGUUGGCUGUUACUGUGAUAUGA
RNAcentral lists this ribosomal RNA (345 nucleotides) under Triticum aestivum (bread wheat). RNAcentral's name for it is "partial small subunit ribosomal RNA". The record is from RNAcentral. Lineage: Eukaryota; Viridiplantae; Streptophyta; Magnoliopsida; Poales; Poaceae.